UACGAGAGGUCUCGAGCGUUAGGCGGAAUCACUGGGCUUAAAGCGUGUGUAGGCGGAUCGGUAAGUACCUUGUGAAAUCCCACAGCUUAACUGUGGAACUGCUUGGUAUACUGCCAGUCUUGAGCCAGCUAGGGGCUACCGGAACAAAUGGUGGAGCGGUGAAAUGCGUAGAUAUCAUUUGGAACGCCAAUGGUGAAAACAGGUAGCUGGGGCUGUGCUGACGCUGAGACACGAAAGCCAGGGGAGCGAACGGG
RNAcentral lists this ribosomal RNA (254 nucleotides) under uncultured bacterium. Its description in RNAcentral is "partial 16S ribosomal RNA". It matches the Rfam family "Bacterial small subunit ribosomal RNA", at positions 524 to 776 of the family's 1533-position model. The record is from RNAcentral.